This is a long non-coding RNA of Neofelis nebulosa (Clouded leopard), 2790 nucleotides long. RefSeq lists it as uncharacterized. The record is from RefSeq and is a predicted model, not a curated record. The transcript is spliced from 2 exons. Lineage: Eukaryota; Metazoa; Chordata; Mammalia; Carnivora; Felidae.
UCUCUCUCUCAUCAGGUGAGCUCCUUGGGAAGGGACUAAACGGGAUUCUUUUUCCCGAGUUUUUGCAGUGUCCAGAGCUGGACCAGGCAUGCAAUGCCUUGCCAAGGAGGUGAGGGUAUGAAGAUGAAUGGUAUGUGGUUCCUGUCUUCAUGAUCUCGACAUCUGGUGUGGGAAGCAGACGUUGUAACAGAUAAGUGGAGCGUGCUGUGGUUAGUGAAAGAGAGGCCUGGGUACAGGGUUCCAGGAAACCCAGAGGAAGGGGGUUCAGUCCAGCCCGGGGGCUCCAAGGAAGAUUUCUGAUAGGACAACAUGCCCAAGCUGUCUUGCUGGAUGAGUAAGAAGAAAGCUGGAAGGGCGCUCCAAACAGAGGAGAUAUCACUAGGAAAGACUGGGGUGUGACAUCUCAUUCACUGAUGCUUCUAAGAAACAUUCUUGGUGGCCUACUGUGUACCAGAUAUGUGGCAGCAAACCGAAUGGAAGCCCCUUCCCUCGCUUGUGUUCCCGUAGGACACAGGGCCUGCAAAUCUGCAGCAUCGCUGGGGAACCAAGAGCAGAGCGGGGAGCGGUGGCAGAAGAGACUGAACAGCAGGCUGGCGCUUCGUUUUACGUGAGAAUUGAGUUGGUACCCUACCUACUUCCGCCGAGGACUUGAGGCAUUUAUAAAGAGCUGAGGGUUUGCCAAACGGAGCUGCCACCGGCCAGGAGUCCCAGACCCCCUCCUGAGGUGGGCGAUUCUUCUGCUUCUUCCAAAGUCUCUCGGUCACUGCAGGGAACUGACUGCUAACAGGGCUGGAGAAGCGAUGCUGCCCCCCUGGGACCCUGGGCACUCCUCGAAAUCCCCUUGGGUUGACUCAGCAAUUUGGGUUGUGACGCACGGCAGGGAGAGCCUGGCACACACAGUGAGAACAUUGUAAAUGCCCGUUGGAUGAAAACAUGAGGGAUUGGACGUUAUCUGUAAAACGAAGGGGUGGCCAAUCCCUUGGAGCUUUGACUUGAGUCUAAGAGUGAGUAACAUUAGGAGCUUCCCGGAAAGUAGGGAUGGCCUCCUCAACCAACACUUCACUCCACUCAAGUCAAAGGAUAAAGAGCCAAGAAGGAAAGCUGUGUGCCAUCCAUCCAUCCAACAUUAGGCCGGGCGCUGUCUGAAACAUUGGCGCCAUUGAAAUGCCUUUAUGAAAGUCACUGUCCAAUGGUGGCAGGUAGACCGGUGAAGAGAUCGUCAGAUGACAGUGAGAAAAGUACUAACCAAGGCAGGUAGACAGGUAGGCUGAAGGGGCCAAGAAAGGCCUUGUCAAUGAGCAGGGUUUUAAAGGACAAGACUGGAAUUUACCAAGCUGGAAAGAGGAAUGGGAAGGAUAUUCAGGCUCUGAGAACAGCAGAAAUAAAGUCGGGGGCGGGAUGGGGCGGGCAGAAUACUAUGUCGAAUUCAGGACGUGCAGAUAGACUGGGGUGGCUCUCAGGUGUCAGGUAGGAUGUAAAGGUUGGCACACGGAUGCAGGUGAGGAGGAGGGAAGCACUUAGUGGUGUAUUUUUCCCGAUCAUCUGUUGCAAAUACAAUGAGAAUAGUUUCCAAGAGGCAUGACCACACAGACUUGGUCAGAGGCUUACUAUCCACCUAAUGGUUUUUAUUAUCAUUACUAUUCCUUUUUUUUAUAAAUUUUUUAUUUAUUUUUGAGAGGGGGGAGGGGCAGAGAGAGAGGGAGACAGAAUCUUAAGCAGGCUCCAGGCUCUGAGCCCUCAGCCCAGGGCCAGAUGCGGGGCUCGAACCCACGAGCUGCGAGAUCAUGACCUGAGCCGAAGUCGGAGGCUUACCCGUCUGAGCCACCCAGGUGCCCCUAUCAUUACUAUUCUUUGGACAGCAUUCAUUUACAUUUGCUGCGGACCCCAAAUCAAAGCAGAUCAGAAUAUGACAAAUGUGUGUCAGUGAGAUGAGGUAUUUGAUGGGGAAGGCAUUAUCUCUCUGUGGUGAGUAAGCAGUUGACCCUGCUGGGCUGCAGCCUGCUAUGGCAUAAGGACCAUUGCCAGUGAUUUAACUCUGGCCCCUGACAAACCACAUUUUGUAAUUACUUUUUACCCAUACGCCAUCAUCAUUAUUAUAACCGUAACUUACGUAAAAACCUGCAUACGUGGAUAUGCUAAGUUCGCUCAUUGACUUCCAGAAUCCCACAUCCUCCAAGGACUUUCAGGAAUCUCCAUGAUGCCUCUGAAAGCUGCAUUUUGCAUCCGAUUCUCUCCUUUCGGUAAAAAGAAGCUUCAGAAAUUCAUGUCGCUCGCCCACAGUCUGCAGAGUUCCCUCGCUUGGACAAAUUGGUCUUGGAAAAUGUAUACCACAUAAAUCACUCCCAGAUCAUCUUGUGCCUGUGGGAGGACUAAGGGCUUAAGACGAGAGCAUUUCACAGCAUCAUAUUCGGUGCCUUUUCCUGGCAGACAUGGAGGAGAGAGAACAAGAGACCCAAUCCAAGUUUGCCUGGACGCAGGGAAAUUCGGUGUCUAAAUGCCACAUUCCCUGGGACUGUGUAAUAAAUAAUCUGUUAUAAUAGCAAAUAAUAGUGUAAUAAUGUCAUGAUGAUAACCUAUAAUUUAAGUAAAUCUAUGAAAGGCAUAGAAUGGAGAGAUUUCCAGCGCUGGCUUCUGGGCAUGAGUCACAAACUCAAUUCCUAGUUCAAAGCAAUUGGCACUUCUGACGUUUAAAUGUAAAUGGGUCUCUACCAAACUCAUUAAAUAUUCAAUCCAUAUUCAAAGUUAUUAAAUAUUGAACACGAUCUAAUAAAUACAACCAAGUUAAUCGAG